AGAGGAGCCAGGCCCAGGGUUGAGGUCUCAGAAGGCAGUGUUCUUGGGGCAUCUCCACUAUGGCCUGGACUCUGGUCCUCCUCACCCUCCUCAUUCAGAGCACAGGGUGCUGGGCCCAGUCCACCCUGACUCAGCCUCCCUCAUUAUCAGGGGCUCUGGGAAGUACUGUCACCAUCUCCUGUACUGGAAGCAGCAGUAACAUUGGGAGUAAUCCUUAUAUCUCCUGGUAUCAGCAGGCCUCAGGCACUUCCCCCAAGCUCCUGAUUUAUCGUGUAAGUUCUCGGCCAUCAGGGAUACCUGAUCGUUUCUCUGGUCUGAAGACUGGAAACACAGCCAUCCUGACCAUCUCAGGGCUCCAGGCUGAAGAUGAGGGGGAUUAUUACUGCACCUCAAUUGCUUCUAGUUAUGUUUCCCACAGUGGUGCAAGUUCAUGA
Non-coding RNA from Lutra lutra (Eurasian river otter), 434 nucleotides. The record is from the annotation of a RefSeq genome assembly. Lineage: Eukaryota; Metazoa; Chordata; Mammalia; Carnivora; Mustelidae.